CGUGUUUGGAGAGGCAGAGUGCAUCAGAAAGUUCCAGAAAGUUCUAGAAAGUGUGCUGUCCUGAGGUGGUGCACCGGGGGCCUGAGCAGCAUGAAAGUGAGGAAGAAGUGUAUGCUGUGUCAGGGCAACUGAAACCAUCUUUACUCUCCCAGCAAUACCUGAACAAGUUGUGGCAUACAGAGGCAAAGCAUGAGCUCCUUGCUUACUCACAGAAGCCACCCCACAUCUAUUUAUAUCAGCCAACUACUAUUGUGAUUCCAAAUCUGGCAGUCCAGCAGCUCAACAGUCCAUGCCUUGUACUUCAAAAGUGAGUGAUUGUUGUAUUAACCACAAUACCAAAUGGCUUUGCUUCUAGCCAAAUUACAAAAUAUGAUGAAAAACUAUGGUAUAUGUUUAAAUUUUUAAAAAAUUUAUUACCAUAAAAGAGAUAUUAAACUGGGUGUGGGGGUGCAUGCCUGUAAUCCCAGCGCUUGGGAGGCUGAAGCAAGA
This 489-nucleotide long non-coding RNA is filed under the name Chinchilla lanigera (long-tailed chinchilla). RNAcentral describes it as "lncRNA (ENSCLAG00000027640.1)". The record is from RNAcentral. Lineage: Eukaryota; Metazoa; Chordata; Mammalia; Rodentia; Chinchillidae.